AGAGUUUGAUCCUGGCUCAGAACGAACGCUGGCGGCAUGCUUAACACAUGCAAGUCGAACGGACUUAUGGGGCUUGCUCCAUAAGUUAGUGGCAGACGGGUGAGUAACGCGUGGGAAUGUACCUUUUGGUUCGGAAUAACUUCGGGAAACUGAAGCUAAUACCGGAUGAGCCCGUGAGGGGAAAGAUUUAUCGCCGAAAG
RNAcentral lists this ribosomal RNA (200 nucleotides) under uncultured bacterium. RNAcentral describes it as "partial 16S ribosomal RNA". It matches the Rfam family "Bacterial small subunit ribosomal RNA", at positions 8 to 224 of the family's 1533-position model. The record is from RNAcentral.